RNAcentral lists this ribosomal RNA (936 nucleotides) under Microbacterium trichothecenolyticum. Its description in RNAcentral is "bacterial SSU rRNA". It matches the Rfam family "Bacterial small subunit ribosomal RNA", at positions 48 to 990 of the family's 1533-position model. The record is from RNAcentral. Lineage: Bacteria; Bacillati; Actinomycetota; Actinomycetes; Micrococcales; Microbacteriaceae.
GCUACCAUGCAGUCGACGGUGAACCAGGGGCUUGCCUCUGGGGAUCAGUGGCGAACGGGUGAGUAACACGUGAGCAACCUGCCCCGAUCUCUGGGAUAAGCGCUGGAAACGGCGUCUAAUACCGGAUAUGAGCUUCCAUCGCAUGGUGGGGGUUGGAAAGAUUUUUCGGUUCGGGAUGGGCUCGCGGCCUAUCAGCUUGUUGGUGAGGUAAUGGCUCACCAAGGCGUCGACGGGUAGCCGGCCUGAGAGGGUGACCGGCCACACUGGGACUGAGACACGGCCCAGACUCCUACGGGAGGCAGCAGUGGGGAAUAUUGCACAAUGGGCGCAAGCCUGAUGCAGCAACGCCGCGUGAGGGAUGACGGCCUUCGGGUUGUAAACCUCUUUUAGCAGGGAAGAAGCGAGAGUGACGGUACCUGCAGAAAAAGCGCCGGCUAACUACGUGCCAGCAGCCGCGGUAAUACGUAGGGCGCAAGCGUUAUCCGGAAUUAUUGGGCGUAAAGAGCUCGUAGGCGGUUUGUCGCGUCUGCUGUGAAAACCCGAGGCUCAACCUCGGGCCUGCAGUGGGUACGGGCAGACUAGAGUGCGGUAGGGGAGAUUGGAAUUCCUGGUGUAGCGGUGGAAUGCGCAGAUAUCAGGAGGAACACCGAUGGCGAAGGCAGAUCUCUGGGCCGUAACUGACGCUGAGGAGCGAAAGGGGGGGGGAGCAAACAGGCUUAGAUACCCUGGUAGUCCACCCCGUAAACGUUGGGAACUAGAUGGGGGGUCCUUUCCACGGGAUUCCGUGACGCACUAACGCAUUAGUCCCCCGCCUGGGGGAGUACGGCCGCAAGGCUAAAACUCAAAGGAAUUGACGGGGGACCCGCCCCAAGCGGCGGGAGCAUGCGGAAUUACUUCGAUGCACGGAAAGAACCUUGACUCACGGCUUGACGUAAA